RNAcentral lists this ribosomal RNA (253 nucleotides) under uncultured bacterium. Its description in RNAcentral is "partial 16S ribosomal RNA". It matches the Rfam family "Bacterial small subunit ribosomal RNA", at positions 524 to 776 of the family's 1533-position model. The record is from RNAcentral.
UACAGAGGUCCCAAGCGUUGUUCGGAUUCACUGGGCGUAAAGGGUGCGUAGGCGGUCGGGUAAGUCUGAUGUGAAAUCUCACAAGCUUAACUGUGAAACUGCAUUGGAUACUAUUCGGCUUGAGAGUUGGAGGGGGGACUGGAAUUCUUGGUGUAGCAGUGAAUGCGUAGAUAUCAAGAGGAACACCAGUGGCGAAGGCGAGUCCCUGGACAACUUCUGACGCUGAGGCACGAAAGCUAGGGGAGCAAACAGG